CAGUCGCCGCGGUAAUACGGAGGGGGCUAGCGUUGUUCGGAAUUACUGGGCGUAAAGCGCACGUAGGCGGCUUGGUAAGUUAGAGGUGAAAGCCUGGAGCUCAACUCCAGAAUUGCCUUUAAGACUGCCGAGCUAGCAGGUGAGAGAGGUAAGUGGAAUUCCGAGUGUAGAGGUGAAAUUCGUAGAUAUUCGGAAGAACACCAGUGGCGAAGGCGGCUUACUGGCUCAUACUGGACGCUGAGGUGCGAAAGCGCGGGGAGCAAACAGGAUUAGAUACCCCCGUAGUCCCUGUCUCUUAUAC
This 301-nucleotide ribosomal RNA is filed under the name uncultured bacterium. RNAcentral describes it as "partial 16S ribosomal RNA". It matches the Rfam family "Bacterial small subunit ribosomal RNA", at positions 509 to 807 of the family's 1533-position model. The record is from RNAcentral.